GUCCCACUUCCGGACUACACGUGCUUCAAACCCUGUUUACUUCAGCACGCCAGAAGGGGGAGCUGGUCCCUCCUGCCUGCUGUCUGGAACGGCGGCAGGCUUAUGGAUGGUUGAGCAGCUGCGCUAUCUCCAGCCGUGAGGGUGGCCCCACAGCGAAGACACCUUGACCGCUGGCGUUGUGAGCACUCUGAUCGCGGCUGUCAUCGAUGGGACGCACGCAUAUGAGGGGCAUUAUCUGUGUAAAUACAUCGCCACCACAAAUAAACACCAGGAUUUCCAGAUUUCUGCCUCAUUUGUGUUUGGGGUUGAAUAUUUCCAGGGAGAUGUUUAAAGACACCCUCAACAACACCAGUCAACUGACAUUGUGCCCUUUCAGACACCUCGGUUUCGUAUCUACCUAAGACUGGAACCAUCGGAUCGGAACGCUUUCUUCUGCCAAUUACCACUUGUCACACUAUAUAUUUGUCAGUUAUUCUCAAUUGGACCUCAUUUGGCUGCUCUGCUUAGCAUAAUGCAGAGUCCUCACCUGGCCUCACAGCAGUAUAGGCUACUCAAUAAAACCUUAAAGUAUGUGAAGAAAAACACCUGGUAUUAGUGGAAUAUUCUUUGGGGAAAAGGUUGAAGUUUAUUUUAGUUUUAUCAAAUUGUUGAUGUUAUGAUAUA
This is a long non-coding RNA of Gadus chalcogrammus (walleye pollock), 663 nucleotides long. RefSeq lists it as uncharacterized. The record is from RefSeq and is a predicted model, not a curated record. The transcript is spliced from 5 exons. Lineage: Eukaryota; Metazoa; Chordata; Actinopteri; Gadiformes; Gadidae.